Molecule: ribosomal RNA, 439 nt
Filed under: uncultured bacterium
Lineage: Bacteria
Description: partial 16S ribosomal RNA
Rfam family: Bacterial small subunit ribosomal RNA
Source: RNAcentral
CCUACGGGAGGCAGCAGUGGGGAAUAUUGCACAAUGGGCGAAAGCCUGAUGCAGCAACGCCGCGUGAGCGAUGAAGGCCUUCGGGUCGUAAAGCUCUGUCCUCAAGGAAGAUAAUGACGGUACUUGAGGAGGAAGCCCCGGCUGACUACGUGCCAGCAGCCGCGGUAAUACGUAGGGGGCUAGCGUUAUUCGGAAUUACUGGUCGUAAAGGGGGCGUAGGUGGUUUCUUAAGGCAGAGGUAAAAGGCUACGGCACAACCGUAGUAAGCCUUUGAAACUGGGGAACUUGAGUGCAGGAGAGGAGAGUGGAAUUCCUAGUGUAGCAGUGAAAUGCGUAGAUAUUAGGAGGAACACCAGUUGCGAAGGCGGCUCUCUGGACUGUAACUGACACUGAGGCACGAAAGCGUGGGGAGCAAACAGGAUUAGAUACCCUGGUAGUC